AUGAAGAAACAAGAUUUCAUUCCUACAAACGGCGAUGAUGCCGAACAGCACGACAGCGACGCAGAACAUGACGACGAUCCCAAAUCAGGCAAGAAGGACAGAAACAGGAGAAAGACAAGCGAGAAAGAAUUGGCAGCACCAACAGGUGACAAAGAACAGCAAGAAACAAACGAAGAGAAAUGCCAAAUCAAGGCAGGGGCAGCAUUCGCUCAUGUCAAGAAAGCAUGGAAUUUACUUAAAGACCGUCACAAGCAAGAUAUUAGGACGGCAGGAUUUGGAAGCAUAGAGAACUGCAAAAUAACGGGCUCCAUCUGCAGACCGCUUGCAGCACACAUCUACGACAACCUCGACACAGAAACCAUGACAAUAACCUUCGGUGAUGGUACCGAAGACAAAAAAAUCAAGAUUACCAAGGAAGCUAUCCACAAGGUGUUUGGAUACCCAAACGACACGCAAAGGUUAGCACCAAGGCCAGAGACUAGCCCAGGUUCAAUGAAAGAACUCAUGUCAGACCUUGGCUUCAAAGAUACAAAAUUCGCGCCAAAACAACUGUUCGAGAAGCUACAAAUAUUGGUGGAAAUAGAUGACGAACAGUCAAACAGGAAAUCAGUUAAAAUAUUUUUCCUUAUUUUUUUUGACAAUGUUGUCUGCGGGUCAAGCGCCGCUAUCUUCGCCCGACAAGCUAUAAUGGUCAAGGACAUGGACUAUCCAGAAAUGGCAAAGAUGGAUUUCUGCGAGGUAAUCGUCGAAAGUAUUAGGGAAGGAGCCAAGACAUGGCAGAAGCACAGGAUGUUGCCUCAGGAAGAAAAGAACGAAAAGCACAUCAAUGGUUUGGCACAGGGACCAGUAAUCAUGAACGUACCAAUAGCACGCCAGGUCAAGAUGAACUCCAACAGCAGGAUGGUGUCAACAACCCCAAAAACAAGAAUGAACGCAACAAACAAAGCAACCUCACAACAGACAGUGCUACAACAACAGCUACCCCAGCAUAAGCACAAGAUACGAUUGACGUCAGAACCAGUGAAGAGGUCAGCUCAGCUGGAGAACAAUCAAGUCAGCAGUCCCGUCAACCAAAUGCAAGAGGCUGACCCACAAUCAACCGUAUCACAAUCACUGCAAGACCAAGAGACAACCCGUGUUGAAAUUGAACCCCAUAGUGAACCUCAAACAGACGAAGGAGUCACAAAACAGGAAAUUUGUGCACAAGAGAUUUCCAGUGCCACAACAUUGCAGAUCACCAUCACGAGUACAAAGGAGAAAACCCAAGACAUCCAAGCCGAUGAGAAACUAGAGACGGUUAUACCUGACAAAGAAACAGUCGAUGCAGGCACGAAUAACCCAGUCAUCAACACAGAGGAAACAAACAAGUACAUUGAUCUCGAAGAUCAAGAAGCAGCGCAACCAAAGGAAACUGGAAAACACACAGAACUUCAAACAAGAACAUCUGAAGAGGAAGAGGAAACAAGCGAAAGCACUGGCAUAGACAUUGAACAAGAAAAACUAGAGGACAGCACGAUACAAGGAGAAGUCAUAGUUCCAGCAGUAGACAGUCCUGCAAAUCCAAAGAAAGAGGCACAAGAAGCUCAAGAGAGCACCAACAAUCAAGACCAUCAAUCACAACCAGAGGAGCCCAAUGAACAACCCGAACAUGUUCUUCAAACGGUAGACAAUAAUGCCACUAAAGACCAAGCCACCAAAAUUUCACUCACCAAACAACAGCUACCAGAGACAGCGGCAGCGUCAAUGAUUGAAAAGAAACAUGAAGAAGGCAACCACGGAGAUACAACCAAUGAAGCAAACACACAAAUUGUUCCAGAGAAAGAACCAGAAACUAUCGAAGAAAACCCUAUGCCAUCGUACGAUGCCAAUUCCCCUGGCAGAGAGGUCAGUGCCAUCCAGGUCGAGACUGAAAAACAAGAUGGAAAAGACCACCAGCAAGACAUAACGGUUGACAAGGAAAAACAUGAUGCUAAGAAAAGCACAGACAACUCAAAUAAGGAUGGAGCAGAAACUGAACAAAAGGGCACAAUGGAGAAAGGGGGCAAAGAUAGCGAUUCCGUCAACAAAGCCAUCGAAGAGUUGUACAACGCUGUAUGCAAGCCAUGGACAAAGAGAGAAAUGGAUCGGCUUUUCAUUACAAUAGACAAGUUUGAUGUAAAUCUAGGCCAUGUCGCCGAAAGCUUCAAGGUCGGUAAAUCAGUACCCAUCGAAGCAAUCGAGCACAUGCUAACAAUCUUGAGAAAACAACUCAAUGGCACACGGAGAAAGAUUCUAUCGUUAAGAAACAAUUUUCUUCUACCAUGUUCGUUGUGCGGGUUUGAGCAAGACGAAACUAUAAGUCAUUACUUCACCAUCACAGUUAACAUGCAAAAACAACACUUUGAACUCCUUGACUCUUCAACUGCAUAUCCAGGCACAAUAGAAUUCUUCAACAAUAAAAAAAGCAUCGACCAUUUCAAAAAGGUCAAAGUGCGGGUGCCACUUCAAGGAGAAGACACAAUGGACUGCGCAUUCUAUAUGUACAUGAACCUGAAGCACCACUCCAAUGAUGGAACAGCAGCAACCUUAAAGCCAGAACAAAUUAUGGAUGUCAGCAGCCACGCCGUCGCCCAACAAUCUUGCACAGACCACGAACAAAAUGAUCCACCAAUAGAACCAGAUCAACCACCACCAGACGACAAGAUAACACACCAUGCUGAAGAGGAAACGAAUGAGCAAAAUAUCAACAGCAAUAUCACGAGCACAGAGCAACUAGAACAAACAAGCACUGAUUUAAAAGAGGAUGACAAAAGAAACGACGUACCAAAUACACAACAACAGGUUUCCGAGUAG
RNAcentral lists this ribosomal RNA (2832 nucleotides) under Triticum aestivum (bread wheat). RNAcentral describes it as "partial small subunit ribosomal RNA". Lineage: Eukaryota; Viridiplantae; Streptophyta; Magnoliopsida; Poales; Poaceae. The record is from RNAcentral.